UGGGGAAUUUUGGACAAUGGACGANCCCUUUGANNCAGCCAUGCCGCGUGCGGGAAGAAGGCCUUCGGGUUGUAAACCGCUUUUGUCAGGGGAAGAAAAGCGCUGGGCUAAUACCCCGGCGUCAUGACGGUACCUGAAGAAUAAGCACCGGNUAACUACGUGCCAGCAGCCGCGGUAAUACGUAGGGUGCAAGCGUUAAUCGGAAUUACUGGGCGUAAAGCGUGCGCAGGCGGNUUUGCAAGACAGAUGUGAAAUCCCCGGGCUCAACCUGGGAACUGCAUUUGUGACUGCAAGGCUAGAGUACGGUAGAGGGGAGUGGAAUUCCGCGUGUAGCAGUGAAAUGCNUNGAUAUGCGGAGGAACACCGAUGGCNAAGGCAGCUCCCUGGACCUGUACUGACGCUCAUGCCACGAAAGCGUGGGGAGCAAACAGGAUUAGAUACCCUGGUANNCCACGCCCUAAACGAUGUNCAACUGGUUUGUUGGGAGGGUUUCUUCUCAGUUAACGUAGCUAACGGCGUGAAGUUGACCGCCUGGGGAGUACGGUCGCAAAGGUUNGA
This 558-nucleotide ribosomal RNA is filed under the name uncultured bacterium. RNAcentral describes it as "partial 16S ribosomal RNA". It matches the Rfam family "Bacterial small subunit ribosomal RNA", at positions 355 to 898 of the family's 1533-position model. The record is from RNAcentral.